GAGUUUGAUCUUGGCUCAGAACGAACGCUGGCGGCAUGCCUAACACAUGCAAGUCGAACGAAGGCUUCGGCCUUAGUGGCGCACGGGUGCGUAACGCGUGGGAAUCUGCCCUUUGCUUCGGAAUAACAGUGGGAAACUACUGCUAAUACCGGAUGAUGUCUUCGGACCAAAGAUUUAUCGGCAAGGGAUGAGCCCGCGUAGGAUUAGGUAGUUGGUGGGGUAAAGGCCUACCAAGCCGACGAUCCUUAGCUGGUCUGAGAGGAUGAUCAGCCACACUGGGACUGAGACACGGCCCAGACUCCUACGGGAGGCGGCAGUGGGGAAUAUUGGACAAUGGGGGGAACCCGUGAUCCAGCAAUGCCGCGUGAGUGAUGAAGGCCUUAGGGUUGUAAAGCUCUUUUACCAGGGAUGAUAAUGACAGUACCUGGAGAAUAAGCUCCGGCUAACUCCGUGCCAGCCGCCGCCGU
This 467-nucleotide ribosomal RNA is filed under the name uncultured Alphaproteobacteria bacterium. RNAcentral's name for it is "bacterial SSU rRNA". It matches the Rfam family "Bacterial small subunit ribosomal RNA", at positions 9 to 521 of the family's 1533-position model. The record is from RNAcentral. Lineage: Bacteria; Pseudomonadati; Pseudomonadota; Alphaproteobacteria.